Molecule: ribosomal RNA, 1304 nt
Filed under: Cicindela puritana
Lineage: Eukaryota; Metazoa; Arthropoda; Insecta; Coleoptera; Carabidae
Description: 16S ribosomal RNA
Rfam family: Archaeal large subunit ribosomal RNA (bases 1061-1219)
Source: RNAcentral
UAAUUAAAAAUUUAUUUACAUUGUUUAUUUAUUAAUUUUAAUAAAAAUAAUUUUAGAAAUUUAUGGUUUUAGUAUGGUUUACAGAAAAAAUUUAUUUAAUUAUAGUUUAUUAGUAUUGUAAAAGAAUAUUUAAAGAUUAGUUUAUUUAUUUAAAAGUAGGGUUAAUUUUCCGUACCUUGUGUAUCAGGGUUGAUUAAAUAAAAUUUAUGUAAAAUAAUUUUCUCGAAUUGAAGGGAGCUAUUUUAAAAUAAUUGUUAUUGUAACAACAAUAUAUUUAAUUUUAAGAUAGUAAUGAAAAGUUAUUCGUCCUUUAAUAUAUCUAGUUCACUUAGAAAUAAAUUUAAUUUAGAUCUUAAAAUUAUUAUAAGUUAAAUUUUUAAUUUAUAUAUUUUAAGAUUAGUAAUAAUAGGGAUAAGCUUAUUAUUAAAAAUCUAUAAUUUUUAAUUUAUAAAUAAAUUUGUAAGUUUAGAAAUAUCUAUCAAUCUAGUUUGUUAUAAUUAAUUUAUUGUUAUAUAAUAUUUUAUAAAGAUUUAGGUUUAUAUAAGUGUGUAUUUGUUAAUAAUUAACAUUUAGUAAUAAUGAUUAAAUUAGUAUAUUUAUAUAUAAUAAUAUUUAUUUAUAAGAAGUUAUUUAAAGGAACUCGGCAAAUAUUUUAUUCGCCUGUUUAACAAAAACAUGUCCUUUUGAAUAUAUUUAAGGUCUAACCUGCCCAAUGAGGAUUUAAAUGGCCGCAGUAUUUUGACUGUGCAAAGGUAGCAUAAUUAUUAGUUUUUUAAUUGAAAGCUUGUAUGAAGGGUUGGACGAGAUAAAAUCUGUCUUUAUUUAAAUUAAAAUAGAAUUUAACUUUUAAGUCAAAAGGCUUAAAUACUAAUAAAAGACGAGAAGACCCUAUAGAUCUUUAUUUAAUUAAUAUUUUAAUAAUUUAGGAUUAUUUUAAUUUAAAAUUUUAAUUAAAUUUUAUUGGGGUAAUAUAAAGAUUAAAAAAAUUCUUUUUAUUUAUUACAUUAAUUUAUGAAUUUAUGAUCCAAUAUUAUUGAUUAAAAGAUUAAGUUACCUUAGGGAUAACAGCGUAAUUUUUUUGGAGAGCUCAUAUCGAUAAAAAAGUUUGCGACCUCGAUGUUGGAUUAAAAAUUAGCUUGGGUGCAGAAGUUCAAGAUUUUGGUCUGUUCGACCAUUAAAUUUUUACAUGAUCUGAGUUCAGACCGGCGUAAGCCAGGUCGGUUUCUAUCUUUAUUAAAAUAAAAUAUUUUAGUACGAAAGGACCAAAUAUUUAAUAUAUUUAUAUUUAUUUUUUGAAUAAUAUU